This is a small nucleolar RNA of Pipistrellus kuhlii (Kuhl's pipistrelle), 130 nucleotides long. RefSeq annotates it as small nucleolar RNA SNORA5. The record is from RefSeq and is a predicted model, not a curated record. The transcript has a single exon. Lineage: Eukaryota; Metazoa; Chordata; Mammalia; Chiroptera; Vespertilionidae.
UGUGGUUUAACAACUCCACCAGGUGAUUCUCAUCAUGAGAGAAGGUUGGGAAACACUGCCAUAGACACACUGUCUCAUGGGCCCUGACCGCCUCUGCUGGGCCUAGGGAUAAGUUUAGUUACAGAUACAA